This 465-nucleotide ribosomal RNA is filed under the name uncultured bacterium. RNAcentral's name for it is "partial 16S ribosomal RNA". It matches the Rfam family "Bacterial small subunit ribosomal RNA", at positions 28 to 504 of the family's 1533-position model. The record is from RNAcentral.
GACGAACGCUGGCGGCGUGCUUAACACAUGCAAGUCGAACGGAAAGGCCCUGCUUUUGUGGGGUGCUCGAGUGGCGAACGGGUGAGUAACACGUGAGUAACCUGCCCUUGACUUUGGGAUAACUUCAGGAAACUGGGGCUAAUACCGGAUAGGAGCUCCUGCUGCAUGGUGGGGGUUGGAAAGUUUCGGCGGUUGGGGAUGGACUCGCGGCUUAUCAGCUUGUUGGUGGGGUAGUGGCUUACCAAGGCUUUGACGGGUAGCCGGCCUGAGAGGGUGACCGGCCACAUUGGGACGGGGAUACGGACCAGGCUCCUACGGGAGGCAGCAGUGGGGAAUAUUGCACAAUGGGCGGAAGCCUGAUGCAGCAACGCCGCGUGCGGGAUGACGGCCUUCGGGUUGUAAGCAGCUUUCGCCUGUGACGAAGCGUGAGUGACGGUAAUGGGUAAAGAAGCACCGGCUAACUAC